GACGAACGCUGGCGGCGUGCCUAAUACAUGCAAGUUGAGCGCUGAAGGUUGGUACUUGUACCAACUGGAUGAGCAGCGAACGGGUGAGUAACGCGUGGGGAAUCUGCCUUUGAGCGGGGGACAACAUUUGGAAACGAAUGCUAAUACCGCAUAAAAACUUUAAACACAAGUUUUAAGUUUGAAAGAUGCAAUUGCAUCACUCAAAGAUGAUCCCGCGUUGUAUUAGCUAGUUGGUGAGGUAAAGGCUCACCAAGGCGAUGAUACAUAGCCGACCUGAGAGGGUGAUCGGCCACAUUGGGACUGAGACACGGCCCAAUCUCCUACGGGAGGCAGCAGUAGGGAAUCUUCGGCAAUGGACGAAAGUCUGACCGAGCAACGCCGCGUGAGUGAAGAAGGUUUUCGGAUCGUAAAACUCUGUUGGUAGAGAAGAACGUUGGUGAGAGUGGAAAGCUCAUCAAGUGACGGUAACUACCCAGAAAGGGACGGCUAACUACGUG
RNAcentral lists this ribosomal RNA (497 nucleotides) under uncultured bacterium. RNAcentral describes it as "partial 16S ribosomal RNA". It matches the Rfam family "Bacterial small subunit ribosomal RNA", at positions 28 to 507 of the family's 1533-position model. The record is from RNAcentral.